RNAcentral lists this ribosomal RNA (503 nucleotides) under uncultured bacterium. RNAcentral's name for it is "partial 16S ribosomal RNA". It matches the Rfam family "Bacterial small subunit ribosomal RNA", at positions 29 to 523 of the family's 1533-position model. The record is from RNAcentral.
AACGAACGCUGGCGGCACGUUUUAAGCAGGCAAGUCGAACGGCAGUGGGGGCAACCCCAUGAGAGUGGCGAACGGGUGAGUAACACGUAGGUGAUCUGCCUUUGGGUUGGGGAUAGCUUGUGGAAACACAGGGUAAUACCGAAUGAGCUGACGAGGCUUUGGCCAUGUUAGUAAAGGUGCUACGGCACCGCCUAGAGAGGAGCCUGCGGCUGAUUAGCUAGUUGGUGGGGUAAAGGCCUACCAAGGCGACGAUCAGUGGCCGGCCUGAGGGGGUGUACGGCCACACUGGAACUGAGACACGGUCCAGACUCCUACGGGAGGCAGCAGCUAAGAAUCUUCCGCAAGGGGCGAAAGCCGGACGGAGCGAUGCCGCGUGAUCGAUGAAGGUCGAGAGAUUGUAAAGAUCUUUUCCAACUGAGGAAUAAGUGGACCAGGGAAUGGGUUCAUGAUGACGUUAAGUUGGGAAUAAGCCCCGGCUAAUUACGUGCCAGCAGCCGCCGUAA